RNA transcript from Propithecus coquereli (Coquerel's sifaka), 495 nucleotides. It is a transcript of the gene named anaphase-promoting complex subunit 13 pseudogene, with no coding region annotated. The record is from RefSeq and is a predicted model, not a curated record. The transcript has a single exon. Lineage: Eukaryota; Metazoa; Chordata; Mammalia; Primates; Indriidae.
AGCGGGUGCUGCGGUGGGCCGGGCGCGGAUCUGACAAAAGCCAAGCUGCAGGAAAAUGGACAGUGAGGUACAGAGAGAUGGAAGGAUCUUGGAUUUGAUUGACGAUGCUUGGCGGGAAGACAAGCGACCUUAUGAAGACGUUGCUAUACCACUGAAUGAGCUUCCUGAACCUGAACAAGACAACGGUGGCACCACAGAAUCUGUCGAAGAGCAAGAAAUGAAGUGGACAGACUUAGCCUUACAGUACCUCCAUGAGAACGUCCCCCCCAUUGGAAACUGACACGUGGCUCCUUCCUUAUGAUGCAUUUUUAUAAAAUACACAGAUACAAAAUGUUUUCUUUUAGUCCCCUAAUUCAAAUCUUUUGAGUAGUAAAUCAAUACUCAAAAAUGUAUACCCAGUUAGUUUAUAGCAGCAAGAUGCAAUGUGAAAAUAUUCACCAGAAUGAGAAACUAAGAUUUCUCAGGAGUGUAGAAUAUUUGACUCUUUAAACCCUA